UGUGAUUGUAAAGAAUUAACUUUCCAUAAAUCUGAUGAUGACAGAGUGUUAAUGUGAAGAUACAGAGGAGCUGGACUGAGUGUCUCUACAGAUCUGAGGAGGAUGAUGAUGGUGGUUAUGGUCAUGGUGAUGAUGCUGAUAGUGAUGCCAAUGAUAGUGAUGAUGGUGAUAGAGAUGAAGAUGAUGGUGAUGAUAGUGAUGACAAUGAUGAUGGUGAUGGUGAUAGUGAUGAUGGUGGUGAUUGAUGAUGCUCAUGAUAGUGAUGAUAGUGGUGAUGGUGAUGGUGACAGUGUGUCAGCAAGUCGGAUGUGUUUGUGAUGCUUGUUUUGUGUUUGUCUUUCUCUGUACAGAGGCAGACGGUGUGUCUUUCAGCCCCAGUUCUUCUGCGACCAGCCAUCCAGACGUGCUGCUGUGCUUCGUGGUGUCUUGGCCAGCUUUGUGCUGUUGUGUGCUGCGUAGUUGUGUACCUUCAAGUGUGUGUGUUGCACAGUGUAGCUCUCUUGUGCGGCGGUGCUUUGCUGUGUGGUGCUGCCCCUGUUGUGUUGUGUCUGGUUGUGUAGCUCCUGUGCUGUGUUGUGUAGAGAUGGACAAGUCUGCGGGGCUCCUGAGCUCCCUAUCCUGCCUGACCCAGACCUCCUCCCCGAAACAGCACAAACAGCCUCCUGCACCCCAUACCCGGGGUUUUGGGGUCCCAGUGACAGUAGAGAGCUCAGUCCCCUUCUUGAGUGGGGGGUCAUACUCCCUGGGACCCCUAUACCCCCAUCCUGGCCCCCAAGACUACCUGUCCUUCCCUCCGGCUCACCCCCCUGGCCACUCUGGUUUCCGACACCCCACGCUGGGGGGGUUCCCAGCCCUGCCCCCGUUCUCCCACUCCCCGGCCCCCCACCCCUCGCUCUCGUUCCCCGAGGGGAUGGAGCGCCUCUCCAGCGCCUACGCCGCCGCCCUGGCCGCCACCAUGAGCACCAACAAGAGGCUGGGGUCCCCCGCACCCCCCUGCACCCCUCCCGAGGAGCGCCCCCCGCCCCAGCGCCGCGCCCGAGAGAGAGACCGGCGGCAGAGGGACGACAGCGGGAUGGAGGGCCUGCUGGACGCAGCCAAGAGGGGGCGCCGGACAGCCAGCCCCGACAGCGCCGGACCUGCUGGCCCGCGGAGAGAGAGGUUCAGUGAAGCCCCCCUCUCUCUGCGAUGCCCACUGUGUCAGACUGACCUCGCCCGAGCCGAGCUCCUGGACCACCUGCGCAGUGAACUGGAACACAUGGACUCACUGCCAGCCAGCCUCUCUCAGUCAGAGCACCUCCAGGAGCUGCAGGGCUGUGAUCAGUCUCCCUCAUUGGGGUCGCCCCCUUCCGAAGAUGAGGGGCACAAACUGGACAGACAGCAGAUGUUCCUGCAGGUGAAGACCAACAGAGAGGCUCGUCUGGGAGGUGAGGGGCUGAGAGUAGUCGUGCUGUGA
This 1453-nucleotide long non-coding RNA is filed under the name Lepisosteus oculatus (spotted gar). RNAcentral describes it as "lncRNA (ENSLOCG00000022973.1)". Lineage: Eukaryota; Metazoa; Chordata; Actinopteri; Semionotiformes; Lepisosteidae. The record is from RNAcentral.